RNAcentral lists this ribosomal RNA (1207 nucleotides) under metagenome. RNAcentral describes it as "bacterial LSU rRNA". It matches the Rfam family "Bacterial large subunit ribosomal RNA", at positions 1598 to 2815 of the family's 2925-position model. The record is from RNAcentral.
CGUCAGACUUCCAAGAAAAGCUCGCAAUGUCAUAAAUAAAAAUGCCUGUACCAUAACCGACACAGGUGGGUAGGUAGAGUAUACUAAGGGGCGCGAGAUAACUCUCUCUAAGGAACUCGGCAAAAUGACUCCGUAACUUCGGGAGAAGGAGUGCCUUAUUUAUAAGGUUGCAAUAACAAGAUCCAAGCAACUGUUUAUCAAAAACACAGGUCUCCGCUAAGUCGUAAGACGAUGUAUGGGGGCUGACGCCUGCCCAGUGCCAGAAGGUUAAAGAAGUUGGUUAGUGUAUGCGAAGCUGAUGACUGAAGCCCUGGUGAACGGCGGCCGUAACUAUAACGGUCCUAAGGUAGCGAAAUUCCUUGUCGGGUAAGUUCCGACCCGCACGAAAGGCGUAAUGAUUUGGAUACUGUCUCGGAGAGAGGCUCGGUGAAAUAGACUUGUCUGUGAAGAUGCGGACUACCUGCACCAGGACAGAAAGACCCUAUGAAGCUUUACUGUAACUUGAAAUUGGAAUUGGACUUUGCUUGCGCAGUAUAGGUGGGAAGCGUUGAAGAUAUUCUUGCGGGAGUAUUGGAGCUAUCAGUGAGAUACCACUCUUGUAAUGUUAGAUUUCUAACUUUGAACCAUAAUCUGGUCAAAGAACAGUUUCAGGUGGGCAGUUUGACUGGGGCGGUCGCCUCCCAAAUGGUAACGGAGGCGUACAAAGGUUUCCUCUGAACGGAUAGAAAUCGUAUCUAGAGUGUAAAGGCAUAAGGAAGCUUGACUGUGAGACCUACAAGUCGAGCAGGGACGAAAGUCGGUCUUAGUGAUCUGACGGUACUGAGUGGAAAGGCCGUCACUCAACGGAUAAAAGUUACUCUAAGGAUAACAGGCUGAUCUCCCCCAAGAGUUCACAUCGACGGGGAGGUUUGGCACCUCGAUGUCGGCUCAUCGCAUCCUGGGGCGGUAGUACGUCCCAAGGGUUGGGCUGUUCGCCCAUGAAAGCGGUACGCGAGCUGGGUUCAGAACGUCGUGAGACAGUUCGGUCCAUAUCCGGUGUAGGCGUUAGAAUAUUGAGAGGAGCCUUCUUUAGUACGAGAGGACCGAGAAGGACACACCGCUGGUGUACCAGUUAUCGUGCCAACGGUAAACGCUGGGUAGCUAUGUGUGGAGUGGAUAACCGCUGAAAGCAUCUAAGUGGGAAGCCCACCUCAAGAUGAGUAUUCAC